RNAcentral lists this ribosomal RNA (364 nucleotides) under uncultured bacterium. Its description in RNAcentral is "partial 16S ribosomal RNA". It matches the Rfam family "Bacterial small subunit ribosomal RNA", at positions 338 to 699 of the family's 1533-position model. The record is from RNAcentral.
CCUACGGGAGGCAGCAGUGAGGAAUAUUGGUCAAUGGCCGGAAGGCUGAACCAGCCAUGCCGCGUGAAGGUCAGUGCCCUAUGGGCGUUAAACUUCUUUUGUGCGGGAGCAAUAAUGGUCACGUGUGGCCAGACGAGAGUACCGUACGAAUAAGCAUCGGCUAACUCUGUGCCAGCCGCCGCGGUAAUACGGGGGGUGCAAGCGUUAUCCGGUUUUAUUGGGGUUAAAGGGUGCGUAGGCUGUGAGGUAAGUCAGCGGGGAAAUGCCCCCGCGCAACGGGGUGAGGUGCCAUUGAUACUGCGUGGCUGGAGUGCGGAUGCGGUGAGAGGAAUGUGAGGUGUAGCGGUGAAAUGCGUAGAUAUAA